GAUGAACGCUAGCGAUAGGCCUAACACAUGCAAGUCGAGGGGCAGCACAUGAAGUAGCAAUACCGAUGGUGGCGACCGGCGCACGGGUGAGUAACACGUAUGCAACCUACCUUCCACAGGAGGAUAACCCGUUGAAAGACGGGCUAAUACUCCAUAACACAGGGGUCCCGCAUGGGAAUAUUUGUUAAAGAUUUUUCGGUAGAAGAUGGGCAUGCGUUCCAUUAGCUAGUUGGUUGAGGUAACGGCUCACCAAGGCAACGAUGGAUAGGGGAACUGAGAGGUUUAUCCCCCACACUGGUACUGAGACACGGACCAGACUCCUACGGGAGGCAGCAGUGAGGAAUAUUGGUCAAUGGAGGCAACUCUGAACCAGCCACGUCGCGUGAAGGAUGACGGCCCUACGGGUUGUAAACUUCUUUUAUACAGGAAUAAAGUGAGUCACGUGUGACUUUUUGCAUGUACUGUAUGAAUAAGGAUCGGCUAACUCCGUG
RNAcentral lists this ribosomal RNA (491 nucleotides) under uncultured bacterium. RNAcentral describes it as "bacterial SSU rRNA". It matches the Rfam family "Bacterial small subunit ribosomal RNA", at positions 28 to 507 of the family's 1533-position model. The record is from RNAcentral.